AUAUAUGUGGUACAGGAUUAGAUACCCCAUUAAUAUAGUUUUUAAAUUUUCUUAGUUUUUAACUAAAAUAGUUUGGCAGUGAGUGAAUCCUAUUAGGGGAAGGUGUGUAGUAAAGGACGUUCCGCCAAUAAAUUUACUUUUAUUAUGUUGGUGUAUAUCUGGUUUGAUAUUAUUGCUUUAAUAGCUUAAUUUGUGUAGAUGAAAAUUUAAGCCAAGUCUAUGUGCUGCUUGUAAAAGUUUUCAUGCGUUACAUUUAUAAUCAUUGAAAUUUAGUAUUAGAAAAUUGAUUAAGGACUUAAAAGUAAUAUAGAAUAAAGUUGUCUAUGUGAAAAGGGUUUAACUCAGGUACACACCGCCCGUCACCCCU
RNAcentral lists this ribosomal RNA (367 nucleotides) under Mesocestoides sp. E121_POR. Its description in RNAcentral is "partial small subunit ribosomal RNA". Lineage: Eukaryota; Metazoa; Platyhelminthes; Cestoda; Cyclophyllidea; Mesocestoididae. The record is from RNAcentral.